UACGAAGGGGGCUAGCGUUGCUCGGAAUCACUGGGCGUAAAGGGUGCGUAGGCGGGUUUUUAAGUCAGGGGUGAAAUCCUGGAGCUCAACUCCAGAACUGCCUUUGAUACUGAAGAUCUUGAGUCCGGGAGAGGUGAGUGGGACUGCGAGUGUGGAGGUGAAAUUCGUAGAUAUUCGCAAGAACACCAGUGGCGAAGGCGGCUCACUGGCCCGGUACUGACGCUGAGGCACGAAAGCGUGGGGAGCAAAC
Molecule: ribosomal RNA, 250 nt
Filed under: uncultured prokaryote
Description: partial 16S ribosomal RNA
Rfam family: Bacterial small subunit ribosomal RNA
Source: RNAcentral